CAUAACAUAAAUACGGCACCCAUAAGAAAUAUAAAACAGCGGAAAGCAGAGGAAAGCACACAGAUUCGUAAUAAGCAUGGGACACUGAAUACGAAAUCAUAACGGGAAUAAAAAUAAAAAAAAAACCCCACCGAGUAAUUCCCUACAUGCAACAACAAUAAUUGCAGUUCUCAUUCCAAUUUAUCGCAAGGCAAACACUUUGUUAGACUCAGAGAGGUAUGCCAUUUUUCUCUUGAUUUUAAUCUUGAUUACUUUUGUUUUUAUAUACUCACAUUUGUGUUUUUGUAGUAUUUUGUUGCAGUCAUAAGUUGCUUCUUCCCAACUGUCUUUCUGUAUUCCCAAACAAUCAUUGAAAGCUUUCAGGUUAUAAUCGCAAAGGCAUACGUGAAUAUAGUAGAUAUGGCUCAUGCAAGUGAGGCUUCUCUUACGAGAACAAUAGAAUCGCUCUUGACAUCCAAUUCGCCGAUGCAAUCUCUAAUCUGUGAUCACAGAGAAGAACUUUGCGCUCUUCAUGAAAAAAUUAGUUCCUUCGAAGUAUUCCUCAAGAACUUUGAGAAAAACAAUAUUGCUGGGGAAAUGACGGAUUUUGAAGUAGAGGUAAAAGAAGUUGCAGAUGCUGUUGAAUACACAAUUCAACUGAGACUAACAGAAGCUGUACUGGGAGAAAAUAAAAGCAUCAUAGGAAUCAUUGGCUCAAGAUUUUUCAGGGAAUCUCGAAUAUAUGGACACGCGGAAAGGUUUUUAAAGGCCUUCAACAAUUAGCAAAGUACAUUGAUCAUGUCUGGAAAGAGUCAACAAAGAUUCAAGAUAAAGGCAAACAAGUAUCAAAGGAAUCAUUGGUUCAUGAGUUUUCAAGUUCAACAAACGAUAUUCUGAAUGUUAACAAUAAUAUGGUUGGACGUGAUGAUCAAAGGAAACGGUUGGUAGAAGAUCUGACAGGAAGCUACUCUGGUGAACCCAAAGUCAUAUCGAUUGUCGGGAUGGGAGGCAUAGGUAAAACAACCUUAGCGAAAGAAGUUUACAAUCAUGAGUCAAUUCUACGCUGUUUUGAUGUUCGUGCCUGGGCUACUUUAUCUCAACAACACAAUAUAAAGGAAAUUUUGCUGAGCCUUCUGCAAUCGACGAUCAAAAUGGAUGACACGGUUAAGACGAGAGGUGAAGCAGAGCUAGCAGACAUGCUGCAGAAAAGUUUAAAGAGAAAGAGGUACUUAAUUGUCUUGGAUGAUAUCUGGAGUUGUGAAGUGUGGGAUGACGUGAGACAAUGCUUUCCAACUGAAGACAAUGCAGGGAGUUGUAUACUGUUGACUACCCGUAACAAUGAAGUAGCUUGUUAUGGUGAUACAGAGAAGGCUCUGUGGUGAGAAUUUAAUAUACCUCCAGAAAUUUGCAGGUUAUGGAAUCUGCAGACAUUCAUCGUUCAAGGGCCUCGUCGAUCAAUUAUAACUUUUCCUGAGGAAAUUUGGGGACUAAUGCAAUUAAGGCAUCUCAAACUGCCCGAAUUUUAUCUGCCAAAUUCCCCAAGCGUAUCUGCUGACAAAGGGAGUCACAUGGGUUUUUCAAACAUACAAAAUAUUCUUACUUGUCUCCAUGUUGUUGCACGAACGAGGUUAUUAUGGGGAUUCAGAAUGUCAAAGAAUUACGAAUCCAUGGAUAUGGGAUUUACUCUAAUGGGCAUCUCAACAAUCUUAUCCAUCUGCAGCAACUUGAAACAUUGAGUCUUAUAUAUUGUUUUAGUGGAUUUUUUCCAACAACGCUCAAGAAGCUGAAGAUGGAAAGAACUUUGCUAAGUUGGUCAUACUUGGACAUCAUAGCUGAGUUGCCUACCUUGAGGUGCUGAAGCUGAUGGAUAAUGCUUGUUAUGGCAAUGAAUGGUAUUCAAAUGUCAGGUGAUUUACUCGAUUGAAGCUUUUGUUAAUUGAAGAUAGUCCUCUCAAGUACUGGGAAGCCACAGAUGACAAUUUUCUUGUCCUUGAGCGCCUUGUGCUUAACAAAUGCCAUGAUUUGAAAGAGAUACCCAUUGAGUUUGCAGAAAUCCCCACACUACAACUGAUUGAGUUAACAAGGUGUCUUCCCAAACUUGGGGAAUCUGCUGCUCGAAUUCUACGAGAACAACAAGACCUCAGAAACAACCCCGUGGACGUUCGUAUCUCUGAACCAUUGCCUGAUGAAGGAGAAGAAGUUUAUUAUCUUGAUGUUUCAGAAGAUGAUGAUGAAUGUUGAUGUUGCAGAAGAUGAUGAUAAUGAAGAUUCUUAUGCUGAUGCUGCAAAACAUUAUGAUAAUUACUAUCUUAAUUGGCUGUUCGAUGUUCAGAAUAACCUGUAAUGAGAAGGGAAACAAUGGAUUUACAAUUUGAUACUGUUAUAGACUGUUGAUGCUAGUUCAUCACCCUAUGUUUUUCAUAAAUGUAAAUGUAUUACGUUCUUUGGUUU
Capsicum annuum is the source of this 2430-nucleotide long non-coding RNA. RefSeq lists it as uncharacterized. The transcript is spliced from 3 exons. Lineage: Eukaryota; Viridiplantae; Streptophyta; Magnoliopsida; Solanales; Solanaceae. The record is from RefSeq and is a predicted model, not a curated record.